GAUCAUUACCAGUGCCGCCGGCGCCCGCCCCGACCUCCGGGUCCGGGUGCGCACCGGUUCGAGCCCCACCCGUGAACACUGAACCUCACGUUGCCUUGGCGGGCCCGCUGCACGCCAGCCGCCGGGGGAGUCCUGCCGGUGCGCUUACCCGCGCCGCGCACCUCCCCGGGCCCGCGCCCGCCAAUGGACCCCAAGUGAACUUCUGAUGGAACUAGAACGUCUGAGUAAUUUGUUAAAUAAACAAAACUUUCAACAACGGAUCUCUUGGUUCCGGCAUCGAUGAAGAACGCAGCGAAAUGCGAUAAGUAAUGUGAAUUGCAGAAUUCCGUGAAUCAUCGAAUCUUUGAACGCACAUUGCGCCCUCUGGUAUUCCGGGGGGCAUGCCUGUCCGAGCGUCAUUGCAACCCUCAAGCGCGGCUUGUGUGUUGGGUCCCGUUGUCCCCGCGCUCGCGGGGACAGGCCCGGAAAGCAGUGGCAGCGUCCCGACGCAGGUGCCUGAGUGAAUGGGAUCAAACUAUCCGCUCGAGAGGCCCGGUCGACGCCCGCCGAUCAACCAAUCUUCUUCGGUUGACCUCGGAUCAGGUAGGGAUACCCGCUGAACUUAAGCAUAUCAAUAAGCGGAGGAA
This 626-nucleotide unclassified non-coding RNA is filed under the name Onygenaceae sp. IHEM 28154. RNAcentral describes it as "sequence contains 18S rRNA gene, ITS1, 5.8S rRNA gene, ITS2, 28S rRNA gene". The stretch from base 245 to 398 matches the Rfam family "5.8S ribosomal RNA". The record is from RNAcentral. Lineage: Eukaryota; Fungi; Ascomycota; Eurotiomycetes; Onygenales; Onygenaceae.